UACCAGCACCCCGAGUGGUCGGGACGAUUAUUGGGCCUAAAGCAUCCGUAGCCGGUUUUACAAGUCCUCCGUUAAAUCCACCUGCUUAACAGAUGGGCUGCGGAGGAUACUAUAGAGCUAGGAGGCGGGAGAGGCAAGCGGUACUUAGUGGGUAAGGGUAAAAUCCGUUGAUCCAUUGAAGACCACCAGUGGCGAAGGCGGCUUGCCAGAACGCACUCGACGGUGAGGGAUGAAAGCUGGGGGAGCAAACCGG
Molecule: ribosomal RNA, 253 nt
Filed under: uncultured bacterium
Lineage: Bacteria
Description: partial 16S ribosomal RNA
Rfam family: Archaeal small subunit ribosomal RNA
Source: RNAcentral